This 301-nucleotide ribosomal RNA is filed under the name uncultured bacterium. RNAcentral's name for it is "partial 16S ribosomal RNA". It matches the Rfam family "Bacterial small subunit ribosomal RNA", at positions 509 to 808 of the family's 1533-position model. The record is from RNAcentral.
CAGUAGCGCGGUAAUACGAAGGGUGCAAGCGUUACUCGGAAUUACUGGGCGUAAAGCGUGCGCAGGUGGUGGUUUAAGUCCGUUGUGAAAGCCCUGGGCUCAACCUGGGAAUUGCAGUGGAUACUGGGUCACUAGAGUGUGGUAGAGGAUAGUGGAAUUUCCGGUGUAGCAGUGAAAUGCGUAGAGAUCGGAAGGAACAUCUGUGGCGAAGGCGACUAUCUGGGCCAACACUGACACUGAGGCACGAAAGCGUGGGGAGCAAACAGGAUUAGAUACCCCGGUAGUCCCUGUCUCUUAUACA